AAAAAAUAAAGUGUGUGGGUGUGAAGAAAAGAUUGUUAGUUCAACAAGAUAAAUAGUAUUUAAUAUAUAUAUAGGACCAGAAUAUUCUGGAGAAUAUAAUAUUAACAGUUAAUUUAGGACCAGAGCACUCUGGAUUAAUUUAAUUAACAAUGACCAGAGCACUCUGGAGAAUAAUUAAAUUAAACAAAAAUAUAAUAUUAACAGUUAAUAUAGGACCAGAGCACUCUGGAUUAA
Molecule: long non-coding RNA, 234 nt
Filed under: Medicago truncatula (barrel medic)
Lineage: Eukaryota; Viridiplantae; Streptophyta; Magnoliopsida; Fabales; Fabaceae
Description: long non-coding RNA (MTRU_LNC000442)
Source: RNAcentral